GCAAACUUGGUCAUUUAGAGGAAGUAAAAGUCGUAACAAGGUUUCCGUAGGUGAACCUGCGGAAGGAUCAUUAUUGAAUAAAACUUGGUUUGGGUUGUUGCUAGUUCUUAGGGACAUGUGCACGCCUUGCACCAUUUCCACCUGUGCACCUUGUGUAGAUUUGGAAGAACACAAACUCUCAUAGAGUGGUGAUAUCUAUCUCUAUGGAUUGAGAAUUGCAGCUUAAUUGAUGCUUUUUUUGCGUUUUCCAGUCUAUGUUUCUUUUUACACACAAACUCUGAAUGAAAUUUAGAAUGUAAUAAAUGAGGCACUAGUUGUUCUUAUUAUAAACUGAAAUACAACUUUCAACAACGGAUCUCUUGGCUCUCGCAUCGAUGAAGAACGCAGC
RNAcentral lists this unclassified non-coding RNA (388 nucleotides) under uncultured fungus. Its description in RNAcentral is "partial contains small subunit ribosomal RNA, internal transcribed spacer 1, and 5.8S ribosomal RNA". The stretch from base 1 to 73 matches the Rfam family "Eukaryotic small subunit ribosomal RNA", at positions 1759 to 1831 of the family's 1831-position model. Lineage: Eukaryota; Fungi. The record is from RNAcentral.